Molecule: long non-coding RNA, 639 nt
Organism: Daucus carota subsp. sativus
Lineage: Eukaryota; Viridiplantae; Streptophyta; Magnoliopsida; Apiales; Apiaceae
Exons: 2
Source: RefSeq, a predicted model, not a curated record
GCUACCUGAGGAAUGCUACAAGAAAGAUGUGUUUCUCUUCCUCAUUGAUAAUCAUGUCAUCUUUGAUGGGAGUACUCUGCUGACUUUGCAGAACCUGGAGUGUGAAGAAUCACCCAACUGAAAGCUAGAAUCCUGGGAUAGUUAAGAAUUGUUAUAGGUCUCAUGCUUGAAGAAAUGGAUAAAUAUUUCAGACCUCUAAGUAAAACUUACAAAAUCAACUAUAUAUUUAUGUUCUUUAGGCAUGAACUUACAUCUGCAGGCUGCAGCUGAUAUGGUAUCCAUGUUUGAUUCCGUGAAUGUAGUAGAUGUUAUUCCAGAAGAAGAAGUCCCUGAUUUAUAAGCAUCUGUAGCAACAAAAAGCUUUCUUUUGGAAACCACAUUGUCCUUCUUAAUUUCUAUCAGCAGCCGUACUUCUUUCCAGGUUAGUUCAGUAACUUCCUUUGGAAAUGCAUUUGGUGUCUUCUUGAACCCAAGAAACAAAGAAAAUUGAAAGUGUUGGUUGUUGUAAUGAAAAUGCUUGUGGUAUGUGUGUUGAAGUUAUACAUACCUUGAGGAAGUCUGCAAUCAAUUUUGUUGCAGUCGUGCCUUCUCUUUGUUGCACGGUUCAUCAGGAUGAAAUUAAAAGCUUCUUUCUCAUCA